GCCCAGACUCCUACGGGAGGCAGCAGUGGGGAAUAUUGCACAAUGGGGGAAACCCUGAUGCAGCGACGCCGCGUGAGUGAAGAAGUACUUCGUUAUGUAAAGCUCUAUCAGCAGGGAAGAAAAUGACAGUACCUGACUAAGAAGCCCCGGCUAACUACGUGCCAGCAGCCGCGGUAAUACGUAGGGGGCAAGCGUUAUCCGGAUUUACUGGGUGUAAAGGGGGCGCAGACGGCAGCGCAAGCCAGGAGUGAAAGCCCGGGGCCCAACCCCGGGACUGCUCUUGGAACUGCGCGGCUGGAGUGCAGGAGGGGCAGGCGGAAUUCCUGGUGUAGCGGUGAAAUGCGUAGAUAUCAGGAGGAACACCGGUGGCGAAGGCGGCCUGCUGGACUGCGACUGACGUUGAGGCCCGAAAGCGUGGGGAGCAAACAGGAUUAGAUACCCCAGUAUUG
RNAcentral lists this ribosomal RNA (449 nucleotides) under uncultured bacterium. RNAcentral describes it as "partial 16S ribosomal RNA". It matches the Rfam family "Bacterial small subunit ribosomal RNA", at positions 329 to 793 of the family's 1533-position model. The record is from RNAcentral.